Molecule: transfer RNA, 66 nt
Filed under: Elimaea berezovskii
Lineage: Eukaryota; Metazoa; Arthropoda; Insecta; Orthoptera; Tettigoniidae
Description: tRNA-Gly
Rfam family: tRNA
About the family: Transfer RNA (tRNA) molecules are approximately 80 nucleotides in length. Their secondary structure includes four short double-helical elements and three loops (D, anti-codon, and T loops).
Source: RNAcentral
AUUUAUUUAGUAUAAUAGUACAGUUGACUUCCAAUCAAAAAGAUUGAUCAGUAAUCAAAAUAAAUA